This 442-nucleotide ribosomal RNA is filed under the name uncultured bacterium. RNAcentral describes it as "partial 16S ribosomal RNA". It matches the Rfam family "Bacterial small subunit ribosomal RNA", at positions 338 to 795 of the family's 1533-position model. The record is from RNAcentral.
CCUACGGGCGGCAGCAGUGGUGGAUAUUGCACAAUGGGCGAAACCCUGAUGCAGCGACGCCGCGUGGGCGAAGAAGUAUUUCGGGAUGUAAAGCCCUAUCAGCAGGGAAGAAGAAAUGACGGUACCUGAGUAAGAAGCACCGGCUAAAUACGUGCCAGCAGCCGCGGUAAUACGCAUGGUGCAAGCGUUAUCCGGAUUUACUGGGUGUAAAGGGAGCGCAGGCGGGACGGGAAGCCAGAUGUGAAAGUCCGCGGCCCAACCGCGGGACUGCAUUGGGUACUACCGGGCUGGAGUGCCGGUGAGGUAGGCGGAAUUCGUGGGGUAGCGGUGAAAUGCGUAGAUAUUAGGAAGAACACCGGUGGCGAAGGCAGCCUACUGGACGGUGACUGACGCUGAGGCUCGAAAGCGUGGGGAGCAAACAGGAUUAGAUACCCCUGUAGUC